AAAACGACUCUCGGCAACGGAUAUCUCGGCUCUCGCAUCGAUGAAGAACGUAGCGAAAUGCGAUACUUGGUGUGAAUUGCAGAAUCCCGUGAACCAUCGAGUCUUUGAACGCAAGUUGCGCCCGAAGCCACUAGGCCGAGGGCACGCCUGCCUGGGCGUCACAU
This 164-nucleotide ribosomal RNA is filed under the name Neillia tanakae. RNAcentral's name for it is "5.8S ribosomal RNA". It matches the Rfam family "5.8S ribosomal RNA". From Rfam's summary of the family: 5.8S ribosomal RNA (5.8S rRNA) is a component of the large subunit of the eukaryotic ribosome. It is transcribed by RNA polymerase I as part of the 45S precursor that also contains 18S and 28S rRNA. The record is from RNAcentral. Lineage: Eukaryota; Viridiplantae; Streptophyta; Magnoliopsida; Rosales; Rosaceae.